This is a small nuclear RNA of Ochotona curzoniae (black-lipped pika), 105 nucleotides long. Lineage: Eukaryota; Metazoa; Chordata; Mammalia; Lagomorpha; Ochotonidae. The record is from RefSeq and is a predicted model, not a curated record.
GUGCUCGCUUCAGCAGCACAUAUAUUAAAAUUGGAAUGAUACAGAGAUUAACAUGGGCCCUGUGCAAGGAAGAAACACAAAUUCGUGAAGAACAUACACACAAGU